UUGUUUUCUUGCUUCCUUCCUGUGUUACCUAAUUGCUCGCUUCUCAGAUUUCUCUGUUGAGUUCAGUUUUUUUUUCUGUUUAGUUCAUUGAUUAUUUGCUACUUGAUUUUGUAAGUGUUCUCACUUACUCGCACGCUAACUAGCUGUUCUUUAAAAUCAUCAUUGACCAAUAUAUUUAUUGCAAGAUCUAUAUUACAUUAGUUUUAGUUCAUUUAUUUAUUAAUUUUGUCCUUAAUUACUUGCUUUCUUAAUUCUUUACUGGUUCGUUUUCUUGCCUGCUUUGUUAGUUGCUAGCUCUCUUAAUUACUUGCUUUCUUGAUUUGUUGCUAACUUCUUUGCUUCAUUCCUUGAUUCUCUGCGUGCUUGUGUUUCUUUCUAAUUUUAUUUAUUUCUUGCUUGCUUCCUUGUUUUUCUUAGCUUCAUGCUACUUUUAUCAUUUUCUUACUUACCUUCCUUACCUACUAGACCUUUUUAACUUCUUUAUUUCCUUACUUUGAACUAACCCUCUAGCUUAAUAUAUUUAGAUACUUCUCGGUUACUCGUUGAGAGUAGCACAGGUGGAGACUCUUGAGCGUCUAUCAAGGAAACUAAAGUACUAGUUCAUCAACAAUGCCUCCACAUGGAUCAUCUCUUUUGUGAAGGCCUAUGAUGAUCAUUCUUUUUCCGUUACUUCUUCAUUCUGAUCUCGUUUGUAUCUAAAUAUUUUAUUUGACUGUUUUAAUUAUUCAGGGUCUGAGAUCAGGCGUUUACUCUCUCUGCUACCAUGAAACAGGUCCAUCUUUUUCAUGCAUGUCUCAUACCAUCUGUCGUCUUUUUUAUGUAUGACUCAUACCAGCAACUCUUUGACAAAUAUUUUUCGUCAGAUGUGAUGUGUUAUCUUGUGCAUGUUAUGAAAUGGAAGUCAGAGAUUCAUGCUUACUUCCUUAGAUUUUGCAGAACAAGUUCAGGAUAUGAAUCUUCAACCAAAAGUAGUUCGGAUGGCAGAAAUGGAAGAAUUACGUGUUGAGGUCAAAGGCGAGAGUCUGUUCACUUUCAGAUAAGUUCGCUGCCUGUGGAGUAGCUCUUUGACGAUGAUUUUGUAUUGUAAGUUUUUGAUGUGUUCUCAAAUCAGAAGUACAUACUUUAUACGCUUAUUUGCAGAAUUAUAGCAAUCGGAGCUCUAAAAUGUGUGUGAGACAAUCUCUGGAAUUCCUUUGAGUCCCAUCGCAAAAGCUCUAAAUGGCUACGAGAAAACAACUAGCCUGACAUCUUCUUAUUUCUGAAUCAAAUCCGUAUGUCAGAUUUAUAAUUAGGAAAUGCUCUUCCUGUAAGUGUUUCGAAGUGGCGGAAGGGAUUUACGACCGUCUUUAAGUUUACUCAGUUGAAUGAAGCCUCAGAGGAAAACAAAACAGAUUCAGGUCCAUCACAAAUGGCUAAGAUUUUUGUUCAUGAAGUAACAUUCUGUCAGAGACCGUUCUGUUGAUAUCAAGUGCAUCGCAAAUGGAGCUCUAAAAUUUCCGAGAGACAUCGUCUACUAGUUUCUACAGCUUAAUCCUACUUCUGCCAGAAAUUACAUUCUCAGUAUGACAUCACUUUAGAAGGCUAUAUUACUCGGCUGGAGACGGUCAGACAUGUGGAGCUUGAGAUUGGCUACUCGGAUUAAGCUGGUGACAGAGAGCGAGAACUUUUUGAGAAAACUGGCUUGGAACCCCGCACUAACUAUCUGCAAACCAUUGGCAAUGUAUGGCAUCACUUUAGAAGGCUUUAUUACUCAGCUGGGGAUGUCAGACGUGUGAAGCUUGAGGUUAGAACAUGGCAAAAGAAAGAUCCAGUCGUGGAAGCAGUGAUGAAAUAUGUCAUCUUAUUAGCGCUCAGUAUGUUACUCUGAAAACAGGAGCAAGAAAAAGAAACAGGGCCUUCCUUUAUCGAUGGUAACCUCAUACAUCAUGGAUUCUUCAUGCAUAUAAGACCACCUAUCCAUUAAUGCUUACUUGCUUAUUCUGUUUACUUCAUUGCUUGCUUUUUUCUCAACUUGUUUUCUUGCUUCCUUGAUUACUCCCUUAGAUGCUUUACUUGCUUGCUUCUUUGUCUUUUGGUUCUUCUGUUUAGUGCAUUGUCUGUUUCUCUGACUUAUUGAGUUCAGUUUUUAUUCUCUGUUUCUUUGAUAUUUCUGUUUAGUUCAUUGAUUAUUUGCUACUUGACUUUGUUAGUGUGCUCACUUACUCGCACACUACUAGCUGUCUAACAUGAUUUUUAAGAAUCAUCAUCCAAUAAAUUUAAUUUACUAUUUAUUACAUAACUUGCUUUUUUGAUUCUUUACUGGUUUGCUUUUUCUUCGUUAUUUUCUUUCUUUGGUUCGUUAGUUACUAGCUCCCUUAAUUAUUUGCUUUCUUGAUUUGUUGCUUACUUUUUUUCGCUUGUUCCUUGAUUCUCUGCAUGUUGUCUUCUUUCUUAUUUAUUCCUUGCUUGCUUUCUUGUUUCUUUGAUUUCCCGCUUACUUGCUGCAUUGAGUUGUUUACUUUAUUACUUGCUUCCUUUUCUUCUUUGCUUUCUUAAAUACUUGAUUCCUUCCUAGCUUAAUGAUUAUUUUAUCAUUUUCUUAGUUUCUUCAUCGCUUAUUUAACUUCCUUACCUUCUGGGCUUGUUUAACUUUCUUUGCUUAAUAUCUUUAGAUACUUUUCGGUUACUAUUUGAAUGUUGUACAGGUGGAGACUCUCUAGCGUCUAUCCAGGAAACUAAAGUCCUAGUUCAUCAACAAUGCCUCCACAUGGAUCAUUCUCUUUUGUUAAGGCCUAUGAUCAUUAUGUUUUUGUUACUGCUUCAUUCUGAUCUUGUUUGUAUCUAAAUAUUUCAUUCUGACUGUUUUAAUUUUUCAGGGUCUGAGAUCAGACAUUUACUUGCAAUGCAACCAGUCACUGAACCAGGAACCUUAUGAGUUCUCUGGCACCAUGAAACAGGUUUUGCAGAACAAGUUCAGUAUAAGAAUCUCCAACAAAACUAGUUUGGAUGGCAGAAUAUUUGACGAACUACGUGUUGAGUUAAUUACAAAGAAAAUAAUUAUAAAAGGUAUCACUUAACAGUGUUUCAAAAAAAAAAAAAAAAAAAAAGGUAUCACUUAACCAUUCGUGAAAGACGUUGUGUUGUACUUGUAUUGUUUCCUCAUUAAUGAUCACCUAUUCUUUUGAUUAAUCUAACAGUUUUAGUGAAAAUAAGUAAGAUCAGAUCAGGUAUUCCGGUCAUAAGAACGUUUUGAAUAAAUAUAUGUAUUAUUGGAGCAAUCGAAUGACGCCAGACAAAUGUUAAAGAGAUGUAUAUGUUUUUGUAAUGCAUUUCAGGUCAAGAGCGACAAUCAGUUCACUUCACAGUAGUUGUCGUGAUCCCAUUUGGCAUUAGCCCUGAAUUUGAAGAUAAGUUCACUGCAUGUGGAGUUGAUCUUUGAGAUGAUUUUGUAUUGUAAGCUUUUGAUGUGUUCUCAAUAUCAAAAUCACAUAAUGUAUAUGCUUAUUGGCAGAUCCAUCACCAGUGGAGCUCUAAAUGUCUGUGAGAUAACAUCUUCAAGUUUCUUGAAGUUAAGUCUGUGUCCCAUGUAUCUGUCUUCAAUCUUUUCUUCUGCUUUUGAUUUUAUAGUUAUAAAUUUCGAGCUUUUGGCAUGUUCUCAAGUCUGAUCCACAUAUACAUCAUCGUAUCUCUAAGAUUUCGUUUUGUCUAUUUCAGGUCCAUCGCAAGUGGAGCUCAAAUAUGGCUAAGAUACAACCACGAUACCGUGUCAUCUUCUUGUUUCUAAAUCAAAUCCUUCUGUCGAGUUAACAACAUGGAAAAAUAAAAACCCAGUUGUGGCAGGUUUGCACCUUUUGUCCUUAACAGGUCUUAAUGUCCAAGUUACUAUACCAAUCAAAUAUGGUAUAUGGCCUAACAUUCAAAACCUGUCUCUUAGACUAUGGUGGCUUGGAACUCCGCCUUAAGCCUCUGCAAACCACUAGUCCUUUAAGAACAGCAGUCCAUAGUCUGGAGAAAAAAGGCAUAAACGGUUACAGAGAAAGGCACAAACUUAUGGAAAAGAUAUAAUCACGAAUGAAGCUUUCUAGACAUCAUUAAGGCCAGGGAACUACAGAGUAAUCCUACCAAACUUUGUAAGUAUGUUCAAUCAUUUUCUUUUGGUCUUUUGAUUUUGCUUGUAUAGUUUGAUGUUCUCUCUGUUUCCUCUGCAGCAACAGAUUCCAUAGUCUGAUGUGAUGUAUCUCAGAGAAUGUUAUAUAUAGGUUCUUCUCAAUCACUUAAAUUUUCAUUCACACAUACAUACAUGUGUGCAUACAUGUGUGCAUUCGGACAUAUUGCUUUCUUGAUUCUUUACUGGUAUGCUUUCUUACUUUCUUUGUUAUUUUUAUUUUUAUUUUUAUUUCUUUUCUUCGUUAUUAUCUCUCUUUGCUUUGUUUCAACUGUUCCUUAGUUCCCUGCGUGCUUGUUUUCUUUCUUAUUUGUUUCUUGAUUCCUUGCUUUAUUGUGUUCCUUUUUUGCUUCCUUCCUUGUUUUUCUUUGAUUUCGUGGUUCCUUGCUGUAUUUACUUUGUUACUUGAUUUACUGGUUUCUUGCUGUAUUUACUCUUUGUUUACUUUCUUACUGCUUCUUUGUUCAUUGAUUUCCUAAAUACUUGAUUCCUUACUAGCUUCCUGCUUUUAUCAUUUUCGUACUUGCUUCCUUUGUUUACUUGGUUAUCUUACCUACUGGACUGCUUUAACUUUCUUACUCAGAACUAACCAUAUCUUUAUAUAGUUCUCGGUUACUGUUUGAAAAUAGCAUAGAUGGAGGGUAUAGAUGGAGACUCUUGAUCACUAAGGAAAGUCUCGUUAAUGAACAUCGCUUCCACAUGGAUCAUCCCUUUUGUGAUGAUCAUUCUGUUUUUGUUAUUUCUUCAUGCUGAUCUCGUUUGUAUCUAAAUUCUUUUAUAUGUCCGUGCUAAUUAUACAAGAGGGUUAGAUCCUGCCAUUUACUAGCAACCGAGUCUCUGACACCAUGAAACAAGUUCCUUUUUCAAGUACGUAUUUGCCAAAUAUUUUUCAUUAGACAUGUUUGCAUGUAGUCCAUCUUUGAUACCUAACUUGUGACUAUUACUAACUAGCGGUUGGAGAUUCAUGCUUACUUUCUUAGCUGUUGCAGAACUAAUUUGGAUGCCAGAAAAUUGGAAGAAUUACGUGUGUUCUUUCAAUUACGAAGAAAUAAGUAUAUAAGGUAUCGCUUCAUCACUUAACCAUUCAUGAAGGACGUUGUGUUGUACAUUAUUGUUUCCUCAUAAUUGUUCAUCUAUUCUUUUGAUUAAUCUAACAUAAUGUAUAUGCUUAUUUCGCAUAUCAAACUGCCUGAAACACAUUAUUUGCAUUCGUGGAUUCAUGCCUACGUUCAUCUAUACAUCGCAUUCAUGCAUUUGUUCUUCUGUAAUUAUUUGUUUCGUUUCAUUGCUUCCUUCACCGAUUCUUGCAUGCUUGACCUGUUUUCUUGCUUAAUUCUUUGCUUCUUUUGUUUACUUUUUUGCUUGUGUUUUUUGAUUAACUUAUUUGCUUGCUUUCUUGUUUUCUUGAUUGAUUAUUGCUUCUCUGAUUUCUCACUUUCACUUCAUUGUUUAAUUCUCUCUUUCUUUGAUUCCUCUGUUUCGUUCAUUGAUCAUUUUUCUCUUAUUUCACUACUUGUUUUGUCCUACUUGAUAUUGUAAGUGUGUUCACUUACUCGCGCCCUAAUAGCUGCCUAGCAAUUGUUUUUCAAAGUUAUUAUCGUUCAGCCUUAUGUAACUUUAAUUCACUCUUAUUUAUUUUUAGUAAUUUACUGCAAUUAGCAUUAUUAUUAUUAUUUGUUGUAAAAAAGCAUUUUUUUAAAAGCAACUGCAGUUAGCAUUUAUCAGCUAAUUAUACUUUAAAUUAUCAGGCAGCUGAGACGUCAGACAUAUUUUUUUGGGUAAAAGAGUUAGAAGAUUCUUGUGAGAUAAAAUUUUAACAUGUUGUAUGCAUCUUCCGAUUCGAUUACAUGACAAUGUGUAUGAAAAUUGUUUAUAAUAUAAUAAAAAUUAGUUUAGUUAA
Molecule: long non-coding RNA, 6044 nt
Organism: Brassica napus (rape)
Lineage: Eukaryota; Viridiplantae; Streptophyta; Magnoliopsida; Brassicales; Brassicaceae
Exons: 12
Source: RefSeq, a predicted model, not a curated record